AGAACGAACGCUGGCGGCAUGCUUAACACAUGCAAGUCGAACGAGACCUUCGGGUCUAGUGGCGCACGGGUGCGUAACGCGUGGGAAUCUGCCCUUAGGUACGGAAUAACUCAGAGAAAUUUGUGCUAAUACCGUAUGAUGUCGAAAGACCAAAGAUUUAUCGCCUAAGGAUGAGCCCGCGUAAGAUUAGCUUGUUGGUGAGGUAAAAGCUCACCAAGGCGACGAUCUUUAGCUGGUCUGAGAGGAUGAUCAGCCACACUGGGACUGAGACACGG
This 275-nucleotide ribosomal RNA is filed under the name uncultured soil bacterium. Its description in RNAcentral is "partial 16S ribosomal RNA". It matches the Rfam family "Bacterial small subunit ribosomal RNA", at positions 26 to 329 of the family's 1533-position model. The record is from RNAcentral.